GACGAACGCUGGCGGCGUGCUUAACACAUGCAAGUCGAACGGAAAGGCCCUGCUUUUGUGGGGUGCUCGAGUGGCGAACGGGUGAGUAACACGUGAGUAACCUGCCCUUGACUUUGGGAUAACUUCAGGAAACUGGGGCUAAUACCGGAUAGGAGCUCCUGCUGCAUGGUGGGGGUUGGAAAGUUUCGGCGGUUGGGGAUGGACUCGCGGCUUAUCAGCUUGUUGGUGGGGUAGUGGCUUACCAAGGCUUUGACGGGUAGCCGGCCUGAGAGGGUGACCGGGGAACAUGGGACAGAGAGGAAGAGCAGACGCAUAAGGGCGAGAGAAGGGCGGCAUGUGGCAUAAUGGCAGUGAGGUUGAUGGAGGAACGCCGGGUCGUGAAUGACGGCAUUCAGGUUAUAAAAAGCGUGGCCCUGUGAAGCGGCGUAAGGGAAGGUAAGGGGGAAAGAAACACACACAAUCUACGUG
Molecule: ribosomal RNA, 468 nt
Filed under: uncultured bacterium
Lineage: Bacteria
Description: partial 16S ribosomal RNA
Rfam family: Bacterial small subunit ribosomal RNA
Source: RNAcentral